AUGGGAUGCCCGGUAUCUGACAGCAAAGGCCAAUCGGAGUGGGCAAGAGGCGGGCCUUCCGGCGCAGGCACCCACCGGGCUGUCCGAUUGAACAAACAGUGAAACAGAGGGACAAUGGAAAGAUCUGAACUUUGGUGAAAUCCUACACCAAGCAUAACUCGGUUGAAAUUUUAAUAAAAAGGUGCAACUACAAGUAAAGACAUUUGUGGUGAUCGGACUGGGGGAGGGCUAGAAAUGUUGUUUGCAAGAUGAAUUAUUACUUUAAAAAGGCUGAUUUAAUAGACUGAUGCAGGCCCAUUAACCAUGUAACUGUGCCACUUCUGUCUCUCGGGCACAGCAAAUACUGCUCUCAACAGCUGCUGGUCAGCUGCUGAUUGGCUGGAAGCACUGCCAAAAUCUGGUAGUGGUCACAACUGGAACUACAAGCAUCCCCUCAGGGAAGAUCCACAUCAAUGGGAUUCUUGGUCAAGUAGGGAUUGGGAAGCCAAGUGCUAGAAGGACCACCACCCUGAGGGGCACAGAGCACCUGCCAAAAGAGGCACCUCUCCUUUCUUCCCAUUGAUCACCUGAGAUGAAGUAGUGGAGUGUCCUUUUCCUUCGAUCUUCCUCAGCUGCAUGCAUUAUUGGUGGGGGAUGGUCUCCGUAAGCCAAAGGGUUCAUGGCCUUACCUGCCCCUAUCAUAUAAUGAAGAGCAGGAUUGGCCUGUUCUGGCACAGCAGUGGUGUCCAUAUCUUUUGAGCAGGAUGUUUGGGUUCAAAUCCUACCUGAUCCAGAGGUGCAUCAUAAUAUAUGAACAGGUUGAUUAAAAAUAUUUAAAGUAGUGGGCAGGAAGGGUGUGGGAUAGUCAUCUCCCCCAUUUAUGUGCCACCCUAACUGCAAAUAUACUUGCUGAGCUGCUGUAAAAUUGCUCAUUGUCAAUCAAUUCAUGCCCACAAACAGCCUCCCCAAACUCUUCGACCUCCGAUGCACCAGCAUGUUAUCCACAUGUGGAAAUUACUCAUAAAAUCUCCUGGAAGAUCUCAAUGGAUUUAUCACAGUCUCCAGGACCCUAAUUCUGUGCCUUGUUUCAUGGACCAAUGACACUUUACUGGGAGCAACAGUAAACAGCAAAAACAGGGAAACAGGAAAACUGAAACCAGUCAAACUAUAAGAAACACAUGCUGCUAUUUGUUUUAUCUUCUUUAUAGAGUCUCAGAAAUAGUUCAGAAGCACUAUGUGUACAUUCUUUACUUUAAAAUGUAGCAAUUGUUGUGCAGCCAAAUCAAAAAAUGACACAGCCAUUUUGUGUGCAGCAAGUUGGACAAACAAGAAAUGAUGUGAAUAGCCUAUUGAUUCGUUUUACAAUUACAAUUUCCUGCAAAUUAAAGAAGCAAAUGUUAUGUAGUUAUGUUAAACAUCAUAAUACUGAUAUACACAGUCAUUCCAGGCUAAUAUCUUUUUACUAAGUAAAUCUCAUUUUACAGUUCCUCAACAGCUAAACUUUUGUUUACCAUCAAAUUAAAUGAAAUCAAGGAUACAUUGCAAUUCUUUUUGUACCACCAUGUUAUGUGUCCAAGCACCAAAAGAAAGUACCAUUAAUUUCUCUAUCAAGCUUGUUUCACCAUGUGUGUAAUUGAUAUGCAAUGCCUUUGCAGAAAAGUCUGUUUAAACCCGACUAAGAGACCAAACAAUUCAUCUUUUGCUGAAUCAAACACAUAUAUAAAGUUGGGCAAAACAUUGCUAUACUUACUUUGCCCAAUACCUCAAGUACAAACUCUACGGUUUCUCCACCUU
Non-coding RNA from Chiloscyllium plagiosum (whitespotted bambooshark), 1773 nucleotides. The record is from RefSeq and is a predicted model, not a curated record. NCBI's taxonomy places the organism in Eukaryota, Metazoa, Chordata, Chondrichthyes, Orectolobiformes, Hemiscylliidae.